AUUGAACGCUGGCGGCAGGCCUAACACAUGCAAGUCGAGCGGGGGUAGCAAUACCCUAGCGGCGAACGGGUGAGGAAUGCUUGGGAAUCUGCCUGGUAGUGGGGGAUAACGUUCCGAAAGGAACGCUAAUACCGCAUACGUCCUACGGGAGAAAGGGGGGGAUCUUCGGACCUCUCGCUAUCAGAUGAGCCCAAGCGGGAUUAGCUAGUUGGUGAGGUAAAGGCUCACCAAGGCGACGAUCCCUAGCUGGUCUGAGAGGAUGAUCAGCCACACUGGAACUGAGACACGGUCCAGACUCCUACGGGAGGCAGCAGUGGGGAAUAUUGGACAAUGGGGGAAACCCUGAUCCAGCCAUGCCGCGUGUGUGAAGAAGGCCUCGGUU
This 382-nucleotide ribosomal RNA is filed under the name uncultured bacterium. Its description in RNAcentral is "bacterial SSU rRNA". It matches the Rfam family "Bacterial small subunit ribosomal RNA", at positions 30 to 424 of the family's 1533-position model. The record is from RNAcentral.